RNAcentral lists this ribosomal RNA (441 nucleotides) under uncultured bacterium. RNAcentral's name for it is "partial 16S ribosomal RNA". It matches the Rfam family "Bacterial small subunit ribosomal RNA", at positions 338 to 795 of the family's 1533-position model. The record is from RNAcentral.
GCUACGGGAGGCUGCAGUGGGGAAUAUUGGGCAAUGGGCGCAAGCCUGACCCAGCAACGCCGCGUGAAGGAUGAAGGUUUUCGGAUUGUAAACUUCUGUCGCGAGGGACGAAGAUUGACGGGACCUCGUAAGAAAGCCCCGGCUAACUAGGUGCCAGCAGCCGCGGUAAUACGGAGGGGGCAAGCGUUGUCCGGAAUGACUGGGCGGAAAGGGAGUGUAGGGGGCUUAUCAAGUUAUCUGUGAAAUCCCGCGGCUUAACCGCGGAACUGCAUCUAAAACUGGUGAGCUGGAGUGCAGGAGAGGUGAGUCGCAUUCCUCGUGUAGCCGUGCAAUGCGUCGAUAUUAGGAGGCACACCAGCGGCGAAGGCGACUCACUGGACUGUACCUGACGCUGAGGCUCGAAAGCGUGGGGAGCAAACAGGAUUAGAUACCCCAGUAGUC